Molecule: ribosomal RNA, 394 nt
Filed under: uncultured bacterium
Lineage: Bacteria
Description: bacterial SSU rRNA
Rfam family: Bacterial small subunit ribosomal RNA
Source: RNAcentral
UAACAUCCGGAAACGGGUGCUAAUACCGCAUAGUUUCUUGAUCGCAUGAUUGAGAAAGGAAAGACGGCCUUUGUGCUGUCGCUUAUGGAUGGACCCGCGGCGUAUUAGUUAGUUGGUGAGGUAACGGCUCACCAAGACGAUGGAUACGUAGCCGACCCGAGAGGGUGAUCGGCCACAUUGGGACUGAGACACGGCCCAAACUCCUACGGGAGGCAGCAGUAGGGAAUCUUCCGCAAUGGACGAAAGUCUGACGGAGCAACGCCGCGUGAGUGAAGAAGGGUUUUUUCCGGAUCGUAAAACUCUGUUGUCAGAGAAGAACAAGUUGGAGAGUAACUGCUCCAGCCUUGACGGUAUCUGACCAGAAAGCCACGGCUAACUACGUGCCAGCAGCUGC